Non-coding RNA from Mycena latifolia, 94 nucleotides. The record is from the annotation of a GenBank genome assembly. Lineage: Eukaryota; Fungi; Basidiomycota; Agaricomycetes; Agaricales; Mycenaceae.
CACCCGGUGGCACAGGGUGUGCGUCUGCUACUCUUGAUGAUUCCCAGCAGAAGAGCUUUGGCAGAAGGUCCCCGUUCGAUUCGGGGUCGGGUGA